UACAGAGGGUGCAAGCGUUAUCCGGAUUCAUUGGGCGUAAAGAGCUCGUAGGCGGCUUGGCAAGUCGGGUGUGAAAACUCCAGGCUCAACCUGGAGACGCCACCCGAUACUGCCAUGGCUAGAGUCCGGUAGGGGACCACGGAAUUCCUGGUGUAGCGGUGAAAUGCGCAGAUAUCAGGAGGAACACCGGUGGCGAAGGCGGUGGUCUGGGCCGGAACUGACGCUGAGGAGCGAAAGCGUGGGGAGCGAACAGG
This 254-nucleotide ribosomal RNA is filed under the name uncultured bacterium. RNAcentral describes it as "partial 16S ribosomal RNA". It matches the Rfam family "Bacterial small subunit ribosomal RNA", at positions 524 to 776 of the family's 1533-position model. The record is from RNAcentral.